This 103-nucleotide transfer RNA is filed under the name Sulfurifustis variabilis. It matches the Rfam family "tRNA". Rfam says of the family: Transfer RNA (tRNA) molecules are approximately 80 nucleotides in length. The record is from Rfam by way of RNAcentral. Lineage: Bacteria; Pseudomonadati; Pseudomonadota; Gammaproteobacteria; Acidiferrobacterales; Acidiferrobacteraceae.
GGGCCUAUGUUGGAACUGGUAGACAUGACAGCCUUGGGAGCUGUUGGGAUAGCUUCGGUCUAGGAGCGCAUAUCCCGUGCGGGUUCGAAUCCCGCUAGGCCCA